Molecule: ribosomal RNA, 298 nt
Filed under: uncultured bacterium
Lineage: Bacteria
Description: partial 16S ribosomal RNA
Rfam family: Bacterial small subunit ribosomal RNA
Source: RNAcentral
UGCCUACGGGGCGCAGCAGUGAGGAAUAUUGGUCAAUGGGCGAGAGCCUGAACCAGCCAAGUCGCGUGAGGGAAGACGGUCCUACGGAUUGUAAACCUCUUUUGUCAGGGAGCAAGGAGCGCCACGAGUGGUGCGGCGAGAGUACCUGAAGAAAAAGCAUCGGCUAACUCCGUGCCAGCAGCCGCGGUAAUACGGAGGAUGCGAGCGUUAUCCGGAUUUAUUGGGUUUAAAGGGUGCGCAGGCGGCACGGCAAGCCGGCGGUCAAAUCGCGGGGCUCAACCCCGCCCAGCCGUCGGAA